RNAcentral lists this ribosomal RNA (474 nucleotides) under Tetrabothrius erostris. Its description in RNAcentral is "SSU rRNA". It matches the Rfam family "Eukaryotic small subunit ribosomal RNA", at positions 787 to 1255 of the family's 1831-position model. Lineage: Eukaryota; Metazoa; Platyhelminthes; Cestoda; Tetrabothriidea; Tetrabothriidae. The record is from RNAcentral.
GAUGUUGCCUGAAAAGUUUUGCAUGGAAUAAUGGAAUAGGACUUCGGUUCUAUUUCGUUGGUUUUCGGAUCCGAAGUAAUGAUCAAAAGAGACAGGCGGGGACGUUUGUAUGGCCGCGCUAGAGGUGAAAUUCAUAGACCGUGGCCAGACAAACUAAAGCGAAAGCAUUCGUCAAGCAUGUUUUCAUUGGCCAUGAGCGAAAGUCAGAGGCUCGAAGACGAUCAGAUACCGUCCUAGUUCUGACCAUAAACGAUGCCAACUGGCGAUCCGUGGUGGUAGUCACUUAACCUUCCCCACGGGCAGUCCCCGGGAAACCUUUAAGUCUUUGGGUUCCGGGGGAAGUAUGGUUGCAAAGCUGAAACUUAAAGGAAUUGACGGAAGGGCACCACCAGGAGUGGAGCCUGCGGCUUAAUUUGACUCAACACGGGAAAACUCACCCGGGCCGGACACUAUGAGGAUUGACAGAUUGAUAGC